Gorilla gorilla gorilla (western lowland gorilla) is the source of this 326-nucleotide long non-coding RNA. RefSeq lists it as uncharacterized. The transcript is spliced from 3 exons. Lineage: Eukaryota; Metazoa; Chordata; Mammalia; Primates; Hominidae. The record is from RefSeq and is a predicted model, not a curated record.
AUGAUGUCAGAAGCAGGAUACAAAGUGGAGCUUCUAGUGACCCCCAGGAGUGCUGAGUAAACAUGCAAGGUACCUGCAGGACCCACUUGUGUCCAUUGAUCUCUCAGAGCAGCUGGGGAUUGUGGGUAAAGACCUUCACAAUCGGGAACCCGUAGAUUGGAUCUUCUGAAAACAUCAGAGAAAGACUAUCUUUGCCAUCCACACUACGGUAAAACUUUGGAGCCUUGAACCUUGGAUUUAUAAUCUCACAACUGAGAAGGGUCCCUCCAUACUCCUGGAACUGUACACCCAUUGGAACCCUUAAGAAUACUUGAAACUGGCUAAUU